Long non-coding RNA from Oncorhynchus gorbuscha (pink salmon), 3683 nucleotides. RefSeq lists it as uncharacterized. NCBI's taxonomy places the organism in Eukaryota, Metazoa, Chordata, Actinopteri, Salmoniformes, Salmonidae. The record is from RefSeq and is a predicted model, not a curated record. The transcript is spliced from 3 exons.
UAACAUCUGCUAACCACGUGUAUGUGACCAAUAACAUUUGACUUGAUAUGAUUUGAUAUGGAUGCAUAUAGACACAAAAUCACAUACAAACCCUCCCUUCUACUCAUCGUUCCUUCAACACAUGUAAAUCCCUUUAUACCCUACCAUACAAUAAAAAGGAUUCAUGUGGUUAAUGGUUGGAAGUGGAUUACCCAUACUACCAUCUUCAGAAGUACAGACCUAAUGCUACUCUGACAGCCUGUCAAAUGGCAAACAGGCCACAGGGAACUACAGUCUGUCUGAAGCCUAGCAUCUCCUUCAACAACAUCUCCCUCUCUACAAUCACACAUUGGUCCUGAGGGACAGAUCCCCUUGCCCAGGAGCCAUUAAGCCAUACCGUGAACAAGGCUGGCCGAAAUAUGAGUACCAUUGUUGAGAGCUGGGCGCUGUCUAGUUUCACAUUUCUCAAGAAAGGUCCUGUCGUCACUGCCUCUCCCUGACUAUGCCAUAGAGGGAGGGUUAUGGAGGGCCAUGAAGGGGACUCUGGGGAGGAUAGGGCCAAUAGGAUCAUCUCAUUGUUCAUUUGAUAACCUUGAACAGUUGUGUUUAAUGGGAUAAGCUAGUAGAACAUUUAUAAUCUAGCUAAACGGCCCGGCUGUUAAGUUAACCAUCAAUUGUUGAUUUGAGCGCUAAGCUGUUAAUUGAGAAAGCUGGAAAAGAUGGACAGUGUUCAGUUCUCUAAUCUGUUUUGAUCUGAUAACACCACCAAACGCUUUACUGAGGACAAGGAACUAACACAGUGCGACCAGUCAGAUAAUGAGGACCAGAGCACUUGAUUUGUCCCAUUUGAUCCAGGCUCAGCAGCCCCAGUACUGUCUGUCCCCCAUAAGCCAUCUAUUAAUCAAGGAGAGACACGCAGCUGUUUGACACCCCCCAUUCUUCCCUCUCAGGGCCUCCCAACCCAAUAGAGCAGAUAAAAGGAUCCCCCCCCCUACAGAACAGGUGUCCACUGGGGUGAUGUCACUCCCACAGACCAGACCCAUCAAGACUGACUGACAACCUGGUCAUGUCAGCAGCAGCAGCAGGGACCAGCAUCAAUGGUCAGGACCUACUAGAUGCUUGGUUUCAUUAUCCAUGUCUUUUCUGUGGUCUCAAGAUUUCAGUUAAUGUUAAACCAGUCUACAUUCAACCAGUCUACAUUCAACCAGUCUUGUAUUUUUGUGUUUCCAAUUGCCAGCUGGCGCCAUACUUUCCAAAGGCAUUGCUUCUUACACAGCUGUAGACUAGUACUCUACUGCCCUCCACUGGUCUGAAACUUCGAUGGAGGGAGACAAGAUUUACACUUGGAACUGGCACAUUUAAUUCAAAAAAUGUGAAGCGAAUGGUGUGCUUAACUAAUAAGACAUACAUAUGGCCUGAAAUUGUUAUUUUAUCAUCCAUCACAUAAAUACUGAAUUUCAAGCCCUCAAGGAAAAGGGUAUGCAAUCAUGGUCUGUAUUACAGUAUGCUGGAGUUGGAACUCAGGCCCGCAAAUAGUUCUGCCUCCAUGACAUCCCCUACUGAUUCUACAUACCCAUCCAUCCGAGACAGUGUUCUAAACUUCUGAGAGGCCUUACUGAUAAUUAACAUGCUUCAACCUCAACAACAUCACUGUUGUGGAGAGGUCAAAACAGAGGUGGUUCAAUGAGCCAUGCUUACUUGAUGACUGAUGAUAAUCCCGUGUGGCUCAGUUGGUAGAGCAUGGCACUUGUGACGCCAUGGUUGUGGGUUUGAUUCCCAUGGUAGACCAGUAUGGAGAAGAAAAAAAUAAAGUAUAAACUGUAUUUACAUUUUAGCAGAAUCUCUUGUCCAGAGCAACUUACAGUAGUGAAUGCAUAUACUGGUCCAGCAUUGGGAAUCGAACCCAUAACCCUGGCGUUAAGCACCAUGCUCUACCAACUGAGCCACACUGUAUGAACUCAUUACUGUAAGUCGCUCUAGGUAAGAACAUCUGCUAAUUGACUAAAAUGUAAAAAUGUCAUGAUUAACCUUGCCUGAAGACUUGUUAGCUCCUUGUGCUAUGGCCUGUAGCUAUGUGGGCUAAUAAAACCUGUUUUCUCCAUGUGCUGCUGAUUCAGGCAUAAGGGCAUAGUGCAUAGUGCCCUUAUGCUUGAGGUGAUUUGGGAAUCUUGAUAAAGUGGAUUUACGAUCAAAGGUGUGUCGCAUGGCCAGUUAAUGACGUUGUGUGAGUGAAUGAGGUUUCACUAAACAUUGCAUAAUCAGUGGAGUUGAUAUAUAGGCACCUUGAGGCUGCCUCAUGGACAACUUGUCCCACUAUUAUGUUUGGGUCAAGAGGUUGCCUCAGUCAGAUCAUAUUUAAGAGCAAUUUCUAUGAAUGAAACUAGGAAAUAUCAUGUUAAAAAUAAAAUGACAUUAUUCCAUGAGACAAAGUUAAAGAUCUAUUUCAAAUGGAUGAGCCAAUAAUGAGGCAGAUAACAGAAUGAGGACAUGAACAUAUAAGCUAGGCCUACGUCAGUCAGUCCGAUUGUAAAGGUCUGUUUAGGCCUACGUCAGUCAGUCCGAUUGUAAAGGUCUGUUUAGGCCUACGUCAGUCAGUCCGAUUGUAAAGGUCUGUUUAGGCCUACGUCAGUCAGUCCGAUUGUAAAGGUCUGUUUAGGCCUACGUCAGUCAGUCCGAUUGUAAAGGUCUGUUUAGGCCUACGUCAGUCAGUCCGAUUGUAAAGGUCUGUUUAGGCCUACGUCAGUCAGUCCGAUUGUAAAGGUCUGUUUAGGCCUACGUCAGUCAGUCCGAUUGUAAAGGUCUGUUUAGGCCUACGUCAGUCAGUCCGAUUGUAAAGGUCUGUUUAGGCCUACGUCAGUCAGUCCGAUUGUAAAGGUCUGUUUAGGCCUACGUCAGUCAGUCCGAUUGUAAAGGUCUGUUUAGGCCUACGUCAGUCAGUCCGAUUGUAAAGGUCUGUUUAGGCCUACGUCAGUCAGUCCGAUUGUAAAGGUCUGUUUAGGCCUACGUCAGUCAGUCCGAUUGUAAAGGUCUGUUUAGGCCUACGUCAGUCAGUCCGAUUGUAAAGGUCUGUUUAGGCCUACGUCAGUCAGUCCGAUUGUAAAGGUCUGUUUAGGCCUACGUCAGUCAGUCCGAUUGUAAAGGUCUGUUUAGGCCUACGUCAGUCAGUCCGAUUGUAAAGGUCUGUUUAGGCCUACGUCAGUCAGUCCGAUUGUAAAGGUCUGUUUAGGCCUACGUCAGUCAGUCCGAUUGUAAAGGUCUGUUUAGGCCUACGUCAGUCAGUCCGAUUGUAAAGGUCUGUUUAGGCCUACGUCAGUCAGUCCGAUUGUAAAGGUCUGUUUAGGCCUACGUCAGUCAGUCCGAUUGUAAAGGUCUGUUUAGGCCUACGUCAGUCAGUCCGAUUGUAAAGGUCUGUUUAGGCCUACGUCAGUCAGUCCGAUUGUAAAGGUCUGUUUAGGCCUACGUCAGUCAGUCCGAUUGUAAAGGUCUGUUUAGGCCUACGUCAGUCAGUCCGAUUGUAAAGGUCUGUUUAGGCCUACGUCAGUCAGUCCGAUUGUAAAGGUCUGUUUAGGCCUACGUCAGUCAGUCCGAUUGUAAAGGUCUGUUUAGGCCUACGUCAGUCAGUCCGAUUGUAAAGGUCUGUUUAGGCCUACGUCAGUCAGUCCGAUUGUAAAGGUCUGUUUAGGCCUACGUCAGUCAGUCCGAUU